ACCUGGUUGGCUCAGUCGAUAGAGAAUGUGACUGUUAAUCUCAGGAUCAUGAGUUCAAGCCCCAUGUUGGGUA
Molecule: transfer RNA, 73 nt
Filed under: Felis catus (domestic cat)
Lineage: Eukaryota; Metazoa; Chordata; Mammalia; Carnivora; Felidae
Rfam family: tRNA
About the family: Transfer RNA (tRNA) molecules are approximately 80 nucleotides in length.
Source: Rfam by way of RNAcentral